UAAUAUGAAGCAAUAACGCAGUUAGUUUCGACCUAAUAACUUGAUAAUUUUAUUAUCCAUAUUAA
This 65-nucleotide transfer RNA is filed under the name Margattea spinosa. RNAcentral describes it as "tRNA-Arg". The record is from RNAcentral. Lineage: Eukaryota; Metazoa; Arthropoda; Insecta; Blattodea; Pseudophyllodromiidae.